GACGAACGCUGGCGGCGUGCUUAACACAUGCAAGUCGAACGGAAAGGCCCUGCUUUUGUGGGGUGCUCGAGUGGCGAACGGGUGAGUAACACGUGAGUAACCUGCCCUUGACUUUGGGAUAACUUCAGGAAACUGGGGCUAAUACCGGAUAGGAGCUCCUGCUGCAUGGUGGGGGUUGGAAAGUUUCGGCGGUUGGGGAUGGACUCGCGGCUUAUCAGCUUGUUGGUGGGGUAGUGGCUUACCAAGGCUUUGACGGGUCGCCGGCCUGAGAGGGUGACCGGCCACAUUGGGACUGAGAUACGGCCCAGACUCCUACGGGAGGCAGCAGUGGGGAAUAUUGCACGAUGGGCGGAAGCCUGAUGCAGCAACGCCGCGUGCGGGAUGACGGCCUUCGGGUUGUAAACCGCUUUCGCCUGUGACGAAGCGUGAGUGACGGUAAUGGGUAAAGAAGCACCGGCUAACUACGUG
Molecule: ribosomal RNA, 468 nt
Filed under: uncultured bacterium
Lineage: Bacteria
Description: partial 16S ribosomal RNA
Rfam family: Bacterial small subunit ribosomal RNA
Source: RNAcentral